Molecule: ribosomal RNA, 403 nt
Filed under: uncultured bacterium
Lineage: Bacteria
Description: partial 16S ribosomal RNA
Rfam family: Bacterial small subunit ribosomal RNA
Source: RNAcentral
GACGAUCGCUGGCGGCGUGCCUAAUACAUGCAAGUCGAACGCAGUGGGGACGGGUGAGUAACACGUGGGUAACCUCCCAUCAGAGGUGAUAACAUUUGGAAACCGGUGCUAAACCGAUACUGAUGGAUGGACCCGCGGUGCAUUAGCUAGUUGGUGAGGUAACGGCUCACCAAGGCCACGAUGCAUACCCGGCCUGGGGGGGGGAGCGGGCACACUGGGACUGAGACACGGCCCAGACUCCUACGGGAGGCAGCAGUAGGGAAUCUUCGGCAAGGGACGAAAGUCUGACCGAGCAACGCCGCGGGAGUGAAGAAGGUUUUCGGAUCGUAAAGCUCUGUUGUUAGAGAAGCGGUAACUAACCAGAAAGGGACGGCUAACUACGUGCCAGCCGCCGCGGUAAUAC